This 254-nucleotide ribosomal RNA is filed under the name uncultured bacterium. Its description in RNAcentral is "partial 16S ribosomal RNA". It matches the Rfam family "Bacterial small subunit ribosomal RNA", at positions 524 to 776 of the family's 1533-position model. The record is from RNAcentral.
CACGUAGGGGGCGAGCGUUGUCCGGAUUUAUUGGGCGUAAAGAGCUCGUAGGCGGUUCAGUAAGUCGGGUGUGAAACCCCCGGGCUCAACCCGGGGACGCCACCUGAUACUGCUGUGACUGGAGUCCGGUAGGGGAGCGUGGAAUUCCUGGUGUAGCGGUGAAAUGCGCAGAUAUCAGGAGGAACACCAGCGGCGAAGGCGGCGCUCUGGACCGGUACUGACGCUGAGGAGCGAAAGCAUGGGGAGCGAACAGG